Molecule: non-coding RNA, 1572 nt
Organism: Chlorocebus sabaeus (green monkey)
Lineage: Eukaryota; Metazoa; Chordata; Mammalia; Primates; Cercopithecidae
Source: the annotation of a RefSeq genome assembly
AGUCAUCCCUUCAAGAAAGGGGCUCCUCCCCUUGUAAUUCUAUUGGGUUUUGCAUCCAGACUGAGCUUCCUUCCCUCACCCACAUGAAGUGUCUACCUUCUGCAGACUCCAGUGGCUCAGGAACCGGGGAUGCAGUGCCAGGCUCGUGGUGUCCUGCAGCAGAUGUGGGGAGCUUUCCUUCUUUAUGUUUCCAUGAAGAUGGGAGGUACUACAGGACAAAACAUUGACCAGCCCACUGAGAUGACAGCUAUGGAAGGAGCCAUUGUCCAGAUCAACUGCACGUACCAGACAUCUGGGUUCAAUGGGCUGUCCUGGUACCAGCAACAUGAUGGCGAAGCACCCAUACUUCUCUCUUACAAUGUUCUGGAUGGUUUGGAGCAGAAAGAUCGUUUUUCUUCAUUCCUUAGUAACUCGAAAAGGUACAGUUACCUCCUUUUGAAGGAGCUCCAGAUGAAAGACUCUGCCUCUUACCUUUGUGCUGUGAGAGACACGGUGACUAUGAGGUCUCUUCAGCUGCAACAAAAUUCGAAAGGCAACCACAGCAGCAAGAAGUUAUACUUCCUGAGUGUAUGCCUGCUGUGAGUUAAGACUGGGGACUUUGGAACCAGACUGCCUGGAUUUGAGUUUGCUACUUUCUAGUUGGGUUGUCUUAAGUCAGUCACUAAUUUUUUUUUUGUUUUGGUUUAUUUCCUUAUCUAUAAAGUGAGAAUAAUAAGAGUAUUUACCUCACAAGGCUGUUGUGAGUUAUGACUCUCUCUCUAUAUCAUCUAUAUCUAUAGUUAUAUCUAGUGUUACUCAGAGAAGUAGUGGCACACAGUAAGGUCUAUUUAAGUUUAGUUAUUUCAAUUCCAGUCUUGAAUUUUCACUAAGUAUUAUGUGGUAGGAUCCCUGGGACUGGAACUCAGUAUUUCUCUACCCUUGGUUUGUGGAAAGUGAAAUCCUGACCACUAUUUGUAUCUUGUGGGUCUAAAGCUAUUAGGUGGAGUUUGUCGUUCGGGUGGAUUGUUGCUCUGGAAGGAUCCCUGUGGUGAUACUCAUUUUCUUUGCGGGAACUCUGAACUUUGGAAAUCCAAAUGCAAAUGCUUCAGCGUGAGAUGUUAAGUAUUCUGAUUAAUUAUGAAAGGCUCUCUUCAUUAUGUGCAUCCUUGAUAAAUAAAUAUAAUCAACAUAUUUCGGAGGUUUAUAACUCAGGCUAGAAGUGAAGUUUAGGGGCUUUAGACGUGGGGAGCAUGAACAUAAUCAGGGCAGUCUGUAGAAGAUGGGAAAGAAGAGUGAACAUAAGCAAUUUGGUAGCAAACUGGGUGAGGCAGGAGAGCCAGUAGGAGAUUCCCAUGAAAAGAUGUAGUCGGUAGGCAUUAAGUACAAUAGAAAUUUACAGUAAAUGUGAAGAUUUUCCUUUCCUGCUUUAUAAUUCCCUUAUGUUCUCUUCAGAUCUUUUAAUGAAGUCUGUUAAAUGCUACAACUUGCUGUCAGCUAGGUUCAGAGAGUACAUCAGUGUGUGUGGCUACCUCCACAUGAGAUAAAGCUGAUCAGAGAGCGGAAGCUCAGAUUGCAGGUUAUUGGGACAUCAAA